This is a long non-coding RNA of Strongylocentrotus purpuratus (purple sea urchin), 1273 nucleotides long. RefSeq lists it as uncharacterized. The record is from RefSeq and is a predicted model, not a curated record. The transcript is spliced from 2 exons. Lineage: Eukaryota; Metazoa; Echinodermata; Echinoidea; Camarodonta; Strongylocentrotidae.
GCUGGAGUUACUAAAGUAUUGUCAAUCUUACGGUUCGAACUAGAGACAGCUCUAGGCAUUUCAGGUUGCACCAAUAUUCAAGACAUUCCGCCAUCAUUGAUAGCUCGGAAAUCUUACCUAUGAAUUCACCCUCAUCGAUCGAACUCCGUCCAGCUGACAGGAAGCUAGGAGGCACACGGAUGCCACUCCUGUUCAUCCGAAAACAAUCUGGAACUUCGGAGCUGGUUAAGACCUAAACCCUACCCCCAACUCUCUAUCUCUUUCUCUCUCUCAACUGAUUGGUCGAUCAGAUACACCCUAAAGUAAAGCGUAAGAAUUUUUAUUUGGGAUUUUUCGUUAAUUACUAAUUACGUAGCAUGUUUUGUAAAAUGGAACAUGUGAUUAUGUAAUUGUAAUUUAAAAAAACAUCUUUUAAGAUCAAACUGGUUUAUUCCGAUUAGGAUGAAAACCAAACUGACAGAAAAACAGGGUCGACGUCCCACGGCCAACUCUCUCUCUUUUUGUAUUCGAACCUAUGGAUCGAACGCCCGAAGUUGUGUGGAUGCACGUGUUCGGUGGGUGUGCUGUGUGUGCGCGUAUGUGUAUGUGUGUAUAACUAUGUACCUCUGUAAUUUCGUGUGCUAACUCUUCGUGCAAAAUCGGCAUUUAUUGUUAAAGGAAACUAUUUUUCCAGACUCUUUUCAAUCGUGACAUAAUUCGACCCUCGUUACACUCCAUUCAAUAAAGACCUACUUAUAUCUUAAAACGAGAGCAUUAUUACCAAUUAAAAUCAGUCCCGUCAUAAUAGUCUAAAGGAAGUACAGAGCUAACAACUUAAUGGUUCCUCUCUAACCUUUCAGACCAUGUAGAGCAAGUCGAAAAUAUACUACGUUCAUGUCAUUACAUCACAGCACACUACAUCAUGAACGAUCCAUGGAUCUUUUCAGUGUAACCAUUCAGACUACUACUAAUGAUGACAAUAGUAGUAGUAAUGAUACAAAUAUUGAUAAUAAUAAUAUUAAUAGCUACAUUUAUGUUGCGCAUGAUUGUAUCUAACCAGGGGAAUGCUCAAUGUGAGCAUUCAUCGAGGAUUAAAUUCCUACUAGAUACCCAUUUACUAGUGGAGAUUUACAAGUGGAAAUACUCAACUCAAUAGAAUUUUACUAUUGCAAAAGAAAGCAAUACGAAUCAUUUGUCACCCCAAUUUUCGCGCUCAUACUAAUGAACUCUUUCACGCAAAUAAUGUUUUGAAGAUUCAUGACUUAUUUUCCUAUAACUUGGGUAUAUUUAUGUA